GACGAACGCUGGCGGCGUGCUUAACACAUGCAAGUCGAACGGACAGACAGAGAGCUUGCUCUCUUGAAGUUAGUGGCGAACGGGUGAGUAACGCGUAAUCAACCUGCCCUUCAGAGGGGGAUAACAACGGGAAACCGUUGCUAAUACCGCGUACGAUUCAUGAACGGCAUCGUUUAUGAAUGAAAGGUGGCCUCUAUGUAUAAGCUAUCGCUGAAGGAGGGGAUUGCGUCUGAUUAGCUAGUUGGAGGGGGAACGGCCCGCCAAGGUAAUUAUCAGUAGCCGGUCUGAGAGGAUGAACGGCCACAUUGGGACUGAGACACGGCCCAAACUCCUACGGGAGGCAGCAGUGGGGAAUAUUCCGCAAUGGACGAAAGUCUGACGGAGCAACGCCGCGUGAGUGAUGAAGGUCUUCGGAUUGUAAAGCUCUGUUAAUCGGGACGAAAGAGUUCUGCGUGAAUAAUGCAGAAAAGUGACGGUACCUAACCAGAAAGCCACGGCUAACUACGUGCCAGCCGCCGCAGUAA
RNAcentral lists this ribosomal RNA (524 nucleotides) under uncultured bacterium. RNAcentral describes it as "partial 16S ribosomal RNA". It matches the Rfam family "Bacterial small subunit ribosomal RNA", at positions 28 to 523 of the family's 1533-position model. The record is from RNAcentral.